RNAcentral lists this unclassified non-coding RNA (558 nucleotides) under Syncarpha canescens. RNAcentral's name for it is "partial external transcribed spacer". Lineage: Eukaryota; Viridiplantae; Streptophyta; Magnoliopsida; Asterales; Asteraceae. The record is from RNAcentral.
UGGUUCUGGAAGGCAAGUUGGUUGAGUCACUAGUCGAACUUUGUCUUCGGCUAAUGAGUGACAACAUACUCGAUGUCCAAGGCAAUCUAAGUCAUCUUCCAAGUGGGGAGUUCGUUUUAGAUUUUCUAAAGCGAACGAUCUGCGGCAACAUCGGUGUCUCGAUGUUGUUGACCCGUCGAUGUUGCUGACCCGUCGAUGUUGCUGACCCGUUGAUGUUGCUGGCCCGUCUCCUGAUUUUGGAUCUCUUGUUUCGUUUGCCGGUGAUAUUCAUUAAAUGAUGUGGCUAUGGCAGGUUGCUUGGUGAUCUUAGUUCGACUUUGAUCUUAGUUUUCAGCUUAACCGGUUUUCUUCACGAGGCCCGCACUAUCGGUCUGAUUGUAUGGCAUGUUCUUGUUUGAUUGUUGCCUUACGAUUGUAUUGGUAGUGUGAUCGAUGACAUGAUGUGACUUGUUAAUCUUAAAACUUGUCACAACGAUUUGGCAUUGUCGCAUUUUUUGAUGAGUAUUGUUGAACGGUGAUGCAAGGGUUCCUCGCAUCGUUCGGUGCAUUCUGGGGUCA